Molecule: ribosomal RNA, 1433 nt
Filed under: uncultured organism
Description: 16S ribosomal RNA
Rfam family: Bacterial small subunit ribosomal RNA
Source: RNAcentral
CUGGCGGCGUGCUUAACACAUGCAAGUCGAACGGAAAGGCCCUGCUUUUGUGGGGUGCUCGAGUGGCGAACGGGUGAGUAACACGUGAGUAACCUGCCCUUGACUUUGGGAUAACUUCAGGAAACUGGGGCUAAUACCGGAUAGGAGCUCCUGCUGCAUGGUGGGGGUUGGAAAGUUUCGGCGGUUGGGGAUGGACUCGCGGCUUAUCAGCUUGUUGGUGGGGUAGUGGCUUACCAAGGCUUUGACGGGUAGCCGGCCUGAGAGGGUGACCGGCCACAUUGGGACUGAGAUACGGCCCAGACUCCUACGGGAGGCAGCAGUGGGGAAUAUUGCACAAUGGGCGGAAGCCUGAUGCAGCAACGCCGCGUGCGGGAUGACGGCCUUCGGGUUGUAAACCGCUUUCGCCUGUGACGAAGCGUGAGUGACGGUAAUGGGUAAAGAAGCACCGGCUAACUACGUGCCAGCAGCCGCGGUGAUACGUAGGGUGCGAGCGUUGUCCGGAUUUAUUGGGCGUAAAGGGCUCGUAGGUGGUUGAUCGCGUCGGAAGUGUAAUCUUGGGGCUUAACCCUGAGCGUGCUUUCGAUACGGGUUGACUUGAGGAAGGUAGGGGAGAAUGGAAUUCCUGGUGGAGCGGUGGAAUGCGCAGAUAUCAGGAGGAACACCAGUGGCGAAGGCGGUUCUCUGGGCCUUUCCUGACGCUGAGGAGCGAAAGCGUGGGGAGCGAACAGGCUUAGAUACCCUGGUAGUCCACGCUGUAAACGGUGGGUACUAGGUGUGGGGUCCAUUCCACGGGUUCCGUGCCGUAGCUAACGCUUUAAGUACCCCGCCUGGGGAGUACGGCCGCAAGGCUAAAACUCAAAGGAAUUGACGGGGCCCCGCACAAGCGGCGGAGCAUGCGGAUUAAUUCGAUGCAACGCGUAGAACCUUACCUGGGUUUGACAUGGAUCGGGAGUGCUCAGAGAUGGGUGUGCCUCUUUUGGGGUCGGUUCACAGGUGGUGCAUGGCUGUCGUCAGCUCGUGUCGUGAGAUGUUGGGUUAAGUCCCGCAACGAGCGCAACCCUUGUUCACUGUUGCCAGCACGUUAUGGUGGGGACUCAGUGGAGACCGCCGGGGUCAACUCGGAGGAAGGUGGGGAUGACGUCAAGUCAUCAUGCCCCUUAUGUCCAGGGCUUCACGCAUGCUACAAUGGCUGGUACAGAGAGUGGCGAGCCUGUGAGGGUGAGCGAAUCUCGGAAAGCCGGUCUCAGUUCGGAUUGGGGUCUGCAACUCGACCUCAUGAAGUCGGAGUCGCUAGUAAUCGCAGAUCAGCAACGCUGCGGUGAAUACGUUCCCGGGGCUUGUACAUACCGCCCGUCAAGUCAUGAAAGUUGGUAACACCCGAAGCCGGUGGCCUAACCGUUGUGGGGGAGCCGUCGAAGGUGGGACUGGUGAUU